UCAGAAAUGUACACAAAUCAUCCACGGUACCAAAUUAGCCCGUCUUCCUCCUCCGCCUCAAAAUUCCACCGCUGCCUCUCCAUGCCCUAGAGCCUCCCGUCCCAGAUCUCAACAUCCCAUCCCUGCUACAAUCCAAUCUCUUUGUGUUCUUUUUAUCUGGAAAAGGUUGCAUUGCAAGAGCAUCCGAGAGGUGGAGAAGGGGAGCAAGGGGUGGAGGUGGUUGGAUCGGGGCUGGUGGUGCUGCGGUGUCGUGGCAGGGGUUGGGGAGGCGCCGUUGGGCAGCCGAGGAUGCUCGAGAAGCGGCGACCGAAGAAGGAAGCUCUACUGGAUGUGGAGAAGCUCCAUGGCGCGAGGGCCGAGGUGGGGCGAGCAGAUGGACAGCCGACGAGGCGCACGAGAGGCGGCAACGCCUUGGACGGCUGCAGAGGAGAUAGGCCAUGAGGGGAGGAGGAGCUGAGGCAGAACGGCAGUGUGCCAUGGCGCGGCGGCAUGCUGCCGUGGUGGAGGUCGACCGCUGCAGCGGUUGGGCCUGCCCCUCUCCACCUUGAUGCAUUCAAGAGCCCCCAAUAAUUUGGCUGUAAAAUCUCAUCAAGAAAAAAAAACGGUACUGUACAUUUUUUCACAUCACAGCUCUUACCAGAUUAUGAAUUAUAGGAUGUGAAGGAGAACCAGCCAGCUGAGAUAAUCUGCAUGGCAUCUGGUGCCAACUUGCAGUGUUGUGUAAAUAUAGAAAUCAACCACUGUCAGCCAAAUCUGUUUGAUGUUCAUAUAAGCUUUAUAUGGAAAGGAUUUGGAGAUUGCACAUUUUUCUUUGAAUAUGUGCUAACUCUCAGAUUAUCUGCAUUUUAACAAACAAUUCUUCUAUCCAGGAUUAAGAAUCAUAUCUUAUAGAGUGUACAAUGUUUUCUUGGUAGAUUUGUAAGAUUUAAGUAUUGUUGGUUGUGCAAAAAAUAGCUUCAUGUAUGUAUUAUUGAGUUACACAUGUUUCUGUGUCUGGUUUCUUUGUUGUAUUUGGGAACAGAUCUAGAUAGAUGAUCUUUUUUAUACAAAACAUCCAUAUUAGUUUUUCUGCAUUUAUGUAACCAUGGAAACCAUAAUAUCAUUGUUUCUUUUUAAUAACAUGUGUGAUCCUUCCUUUGUAGUUACCAGAUAGCAUAGUUGCCACUUACAGAAAAUCUCCUAAAGAAUUUUCUGAUACACUUUCAGAGUGCCCUCACAGUGAUUUUCAUGCUUAUUGUAGUGGGUUCUGCAUAAUGAUAAAUCUGCUCUAAAAAAUAGUUGAUUUAUGUUGUCCCAUUAUGCGUAGCAGAAUAUUCACGCAUGCCUCUAGAGCUGCUUCAUCGAACAGUAAUCUGCGGUCUUCACUAGCAUAGAACAAGAAAUUCUCUGAUGAAGCUUACACAGUAGCAUAACAUCGUAUGCAGAUGAAAAGUUUGAUUUAAAAUGGCUUUAGCCACUGCCAAUUCCAAUAUUGUCACGUAAGUUGCUUCUGCGUUGAAAGUUUGACUUGAGUCCUAACUUCUAGAGGUAAGGAAUUGAUUUGCCUCUUGAUAGGUUUCUAUCUCUUUGGGUUUAUCUUUCCGUUGCAACAAAAUUGCAUUAUUAUUUUCUGCAAAUCAAAGUUGAAGUCCGUGGUUUCUCUAUGCUGGUAAAAAAUAAAACAGUGUUCUUGAUAUUCCCCAUCUCUUUUCGUAAUACAAUACGCAUCUUAUCUUCACUGAUUUAAGCAAUUUCAGUAAGACUCCUCUAUCUUCAAACCACACUAAGUCCAUGGUUUCCCUCGGUGUGACAAACUAUAGUUGGAUCAGUGUUUCAAAAGACAUGGCAUGGGCUUGAAGGGUACCACGGAGUCGGAGGGCUUGGCAAGGGGAGGUUCCCAGGGCUAUGAACUAGCAAUUAACUUGUAUUUUCUUUAUUAUUGUAUUUUUUGUUUGUCCUAAAUUCCACUCCCUCAGAUCCAUAUUAAUUGGUUGUACCGAGUCAGCGACAAUUAAUAUGGAUCGGAGGGAGUACUUGAUUCGUGUUUCUUGCUUUCCAUUGUUUGUAAUAUGAACCAAACUCUUCACGUGUUUAUAUUGCUUGAAUAGUUCAUAGUAAAACCACAUGUCGUUCAUAGUACUUCUGGAUGGUCACAGUUAAAAUGAUAGCUUGGUUGUGUAUACUACUUCAAGAACUUUUCUCUGACAAAGAGGUUGCUGAGCUCAGCCAUGGGUGGCACUGCCCAGUCUCUAUUUUUUCAGUAGUGAAGCUACCACUAUUUUUGGUUUUUAGUUUGAAAACUCCAAAUUCCCCAGAACGUAUUUUAUUUAUUAUUAUAUUUUUUGUUUGUGCUAAACACUACUCCCUCCAAUCCAAAAUAAGUGUCGUGGUUUUAGUUCAAAUUUGUACUAAAACUACGACACUUAUGUUGGAUCGAAGGGAGUACUUGAUUCAUGUUUCUUGCUUUCUACUGUUUGUAAUAUGAAGCAAACACCUCACGUGUUUAUGUUGCUUGAAUAUUUCAGACCGAGAUAGAAGUAAAAUGAAGUGUGGUUCAUAGUACUUCUGGAUGGUCACAGCUAAAAUGAUAGCUUGGCUGUGUAGACUACUUCAAGAAUUUCUGACCGCCCAAUGUUGUUUAUAAACAACAGAGGCUCAGUGGCCUAUACACAACUCUUUCAGGUUGUUCCCACAAAAAAAAAAAACUCUUUUAAGGUUGUUGAACCUCGCCUAAUCUAAUAGAAUCUUUUUGAAUUAUGUUUUGGCCAGAAUUACUAUAUAGGAGUAUGAUUUAUCUUUGCCUCUUUCGUACACAUUCCUUCUGCAUGAGAAUUGAGGAGGUCAAAUACUGACAUAAAUCGGAAUGGUGACAUGCUACUUCUUUACAAACAGGGUACAAACUGUAAGAAAGCUCUUAGAAAUUGUUAAACUUAUUAGUCCGUGAUAACUUAAUACCUGACAAAGAGGUUGCUGAGCUCAGUCUUAAAAAUAGAAAGAGCUAUGGGUGGUACUGCCCAGUCUCUAUUUUGUUUUCAGUAGGGAAGCUACCACUAUAUGUUGUUUUCAGUGUGAAAACUCUAAUUUUUUCCCCAACACGUAUUUUCUUUAUUAUUAUAUUUUUAUUUUGUCCUAAAUACUACUUGGUUCAUAUUUCUUGCUUUCCAUUGUUUGUAAUGUGAACCAAAAUCCUCACAUGUUUAUGUUGCUUGAAUAUUUCAGAACGGGUUAGAAGCAAAACUACAUGCCAUUCAUAGUAAUUUUAGAUGGUCACAGCUAAAAUGAUAGCUUGGCUGUGUAGACUACUUCAAGAAUCUCUCUGACUGCCACUUCUGUUUAUAAACUACAGAGGCUCACUGGCCUAUACGCAACUCUUUCAGGUUGUCGAGCCUCGCCUAAUCUAAUAGAGUAUUUUUAUAUAAUGUUUUGGCCAGAAUUACUAUAUAGGAGUAUGAUUUAUCUUUGUCUCUUUCUUACGCAUUCCUUCUGCAUGGGAAUUGAAAAGGUGAAACACUGACAUAAAUGACACGGUGACACACUUAUCAAAGUUGACAUGGUACUUGUUUACAAACAGGGUACAAACUGCAAGAAAGCUCUUAGAAAUUGGUAAACUUAUUAGUCCGUGAUAUAGUAAUACCUGACAAAGAGCUUGCUGAGCUCAGUCUUAAAAAUGGAAAGAGCCAUGGGUGGUACUGCCCAGUCUCUGUUUCGUGUUUAGUAGUGAAGCUACCACUAUUUUUUGUUUUCAGUGUCAAAACUCCAAAAUUUUCACAUUGUUAGCCAGAUCCUCGAAAUAUUUUGACGAACCUUUAGUCUCUAUUUUGUACGCUCAUGGAGAUUUUCGCUGGGUACAAUUGCAUCACAAUAUACGCUGGGUACAGUUGCAUCACAAUAUGGUUACCUGUUGAUAAUGCUACUGCAGAAAAUAUGUGAAUGCCAUCCCAGGACAGAGAAAGAGGCGUUAUGGACUAGGGAUUACAUGCUGGCUAUCACCGAGGCACCGAAUGGAAAUAUGAGACAUGGAUUGAGACGGACACAAGAGAAAGAAGAAACAAAAAUAACAUUAUAGACCAGAUGAUGAGAACAAUGGUUUCUCUCAGCGCUGCAUGCUUAGCUGAUGGAACAUACUCCUGGGACAUAGCAGGCUAAGUGAUGUUCUACAGUACACAUGGAAAGUGACUUGAUGGAAGUCAACAACAUGGUAACAGGGUGAUUGGAUUUUGUGUAAUUUUGCAUAGUUCAUUUAUAUGUUCAUUUCAAAUCAGUUAGCAAUGACAUUCAACUUGGAAAGGAAGGUGAGAAACUUAUGAUUUCCAAGUAUAUAUGAUUUCCAUGCUUUGUGUUA
Molecule: long non-coding RNA, 4321 nt
Organism: Triticum aestivum (bread wheat)
Lineage: Eukaryota; Viridiplantae; Streptophyta; Magnoliopsida; Poales; Poaceae
Exons: 2
Source: RefSeq, a predicted model, not a curated record